UGGGGAAUAUUGGACAAUGGACGUGAGUCUGAACCAGCCAUGCCGCGUGAAGGAUGAAGGCGUUCUGCGUUGUAAACUUCUUUUGCGGGGGAAGAAACCUUGAUAUUCUUAUCAAGCCGACGGUACCCCGAGAAUAAGCACCGGCUAACUCCGUGCCAGCAGCCGCGGUAAUACGGAGGGUGCAAGCGUUAUCCGGAUUUACUGGGUUUAAAGGGUGCGUAGGUGGAUUUGUAAGUCAGUGGUGAAAUCUCCGAGCUUAACUCGGAAACUGCCAUUGAUACUAUUAGUCUUGAAUAUUGUUGAGGUGGGCGGAACGGGUCAUGUAGCGGUGAAAUGCAUAGAUAUGACCCGGAACACCGAUUGCGAAGGCAGCCCACUAAGCAAUGAUUGACGCUGAGGCACGAAAGCGUGGGGAUCAAACA
This 422-nucleotide ribosomal RNA is filed under the name uncultured bacterium. RNAcentral's name for it is "bacterial SSU rRNA". It matches the Rfam family "Bacterial small subunit ribosomal RNA", at positions 355 to 774 of the family's 1533-position model. The record is from RNAcentral.